Molecule: ribosomal RNA, 110 nt
Filed under: uncultured bacterium
Lineage: Bacteria
Description: partial 16S ribosomal RNA
Rfam family: Bacterial small subunit ribosomal RNA
Source: RNAcentral
UCGCGGUGAAUACGUUCCCGGGUCUUGUACACACCGCCCGUCACACCAUGAAAGUGACCAACACCCGAAGUCCGAUUCGUCGGCCUAAGGUGGGGGGCAUGAUUGGGGUU